This 73-nucleotide transfer RNA is filed under the name Candidatus Omnitrophota bacterium. Its description in RNAcentral is "tRNA-Lys". It matches the Rfam family "tRNA". Rfam says of the family: Transfer RNA (tRNA) molecules are approximately 80 nucleotides in length. The record is from RNAcentral. Lineage: Bacteria; Pseudomonadati; Candidatus Omnitrophota.
GGGCCAUUAGCUCAGAUGGUAGAGCAGGGGCCUCUUAAGCCCAAGGUCGAAGGUUCGAUCCCUUCAUGGCUCA